Molecule: ribosomal RNA, 506 nt
Filed under: uncultured bacterium
Lineage: Bacteria
Description: partial 16S ribosomal RNA
Rfam family: Bacterial small subunit ribosomal RNA
Source: RNAcentral
AGUGAACGCUGGCGGUAGGCCUAACACAUGCAAGUCGAACGGCAGCACAGGAGAGCUUGCUCUCUGGGUGGCGAGUGGCGGACGGGUGAGGAAUACAUCGGAAUCUACUCUGUCGUGGGGGAUAACGUAGGGAAACUUACGCUAAUACCGCAUACGACCUACGGGUGAAAGCAGGGGACCUUCGGGCCUUGCGCGAUUGAAUGAGCCGAUGUCGGAUUAGAUAGUUGGCGGGGUAAAGGCCCACCAAGGCGACGAUCCGUAGCUGGUCUGAGAGGAUGAUCAGCCACACUGGAACUGAGACACGGUCCAGACUCCUACGGGAGGCGGCAGUGGGGAAUAUUGGACAAUGGGCGCAAGCCUGAUCCAGCCAUACCGCGUGGGUGAAGAAGGCCUUCGGGUUGUAAAGCCCUUUUGUUGGGAAAGAAAUCCAGCUGGCUAAUACCCGGUUGGGAUGACGGUACCCAAAGAAUAAGCACCGGCUAACUUCGUGCCAGCCGCCGCAGUAA